UGUAGUGUAAGUUUAAAUGUACCUUUGGAUAUCACCCAAAUCCAGCAGGCUAGCACUAGCAUAGGCAAGAUUAACUCUACUCAACCCCGACGUGAGCCACACAAUAGAGUAACCCAACUCGACUAAAUCGCAAAACAUAAGGAACCUUUAUCCAACUGAGCUGUUAGCAUUACCUGGUCGCCAUGGCCUGAAGGAUGUUGGAGGGAAUAUGAUUGCCAUGGAGGAUGUCACCCGCAAACUCUUACACAUCAACAUGGCCUUAACAUAGAUUAGGACCCGGCUCUUAUGUCUUCUGACCGCUUCAAAUUCCUCAUGGCAGGACAUGCUAUCAGUUCCUAGAAGAAAGUGGUGGUCGAGUAGGAAGAGGGAGGAGAUGCAAACAUCACUGCUAAUCCGACCAGUUCAGGAAACACAUAAAGAUAAUAUGUAUCCUUUGAGCAAUAGGAUCAGCUUCAUGUCCAUAUGGUCACUACACAUGCCAUGCAGGCGGCAAGAUAUGGGCAUGUCCAUCUCAAUGACGGCGAGAUCAACGUGGUGCAGCACAACUCUGUCUGAGUCAGCAGCAGCGAAUUGUUUCUACGGAGGUCUAAUCCUUUUCGGUACCAGUCAAAAUCCAACUUUUUAUUGCUAUUUCGCAAUGCACUCUUGUGUGCAUAAUUAUUUAAAACUGAAAACAUCUGGAGUACACCUUAUCCAUUCUAAUUCUAAAGACUAAAGAAGUUGCACUUCCUGCUUCCAGAGCGUAAAAUGGUGCAUUUGAAUGAUUGUUUGUUGGGACUAAGCAGAUUUAGCAUAUCCUUCUUUUCAUGUACAUAUCCUAAUAGGUGAGAGCAUCAACGAGAUUUGGUUGAUCUAUCAUGAACAGGUUUAGUAUAUAUAUUUUUGCAGUACAAUGCUUGCGGUAAGACAUCUAAGAAAUAUUUGGAGUUGCCGACUAGGGUAAUCUGGAAGUUUGAAUUAGUAAACAAAUAUACCCAACCAUCACUUCAAGGAAAUGCUCCAUAGACAACUACAUGGAUUUCUUAGAACAAUAAAAAUAUUGUACAAUGCAUCUCAGAAUCAAAACAUACUCUUAGAUUCAGACUCUUGUUGCUCCCAUCCCCUUUCGGCACCUCCUUCUCCUUCAGAAAAUCUGAACCAUUCAGGGCUGCAUCAUCAACAAAGGCACCAACUAAGAGGAUGAAAGGAAAAUCAUAGGCUUGGAAAAAAGCUUACUCAUUUUUAACUGGUCGGAGAACAACCGUCUGUGAGUUGGCGAGCAGGGACCUCCAGUCUCAGACCUUCCCGACCCCAUUGGCUGCCGCGACACACGAGACACAACAACGGCUGCGGCCGCGAAGGCAGCGCCACACGGAACACACCAUGGCUCCUGAGCAGCUAACCCUAGGCGAUGAACAUUGCACACAGUGAGGCUACGCACCGAUUUGACGGGGACGAGUAGGCGGCGGGGUCGGAGAGACUAACCUGGACCCGUACGAGCGAGGAGAAGCAUAGGGAGGGCCCCGAGCAGCAGCACAUCCAUGGAAAGAAGGAACUGGAGGUCGCGAGCAGCAGCUGCUCCUGCUCCAGACUGAAUCGAACAAGCAAAUAAAGAUGGUGUCGGAGAGCAGAGCAUCCGGAUCGAGGGGAGAAGAAGAGUUGGAACCGGACCUUGAUGGCGUCUCGAGCAGGGGGGAGGGAGGAUUCAUGGCGCGCGGGAUAAGGUGGAGACGCUCAUAGCGGCGACGAAGAGUGCAUCAGGAGGAGGGAGGGCCCCGGUGUCGCCGGCGAGCAUGCCGAGCUCGAGCGCCUCCUCGAGCACUUCGGGGAUCGGAUAUGAAGAAGGGGCGGGGCGGGGAAGAGCAUGGGCCUACGUGUCCGCCGACAAUGGUGACGAAUGGGAGGGGCGGCCACCAGAGAGUGCCGGCUGUGGAUGGGGGAUCUAGCGUGUGGCAACAGAGGAGGAGGUAGGAAGUGAAGAAUGGGGAAGAUAAGAAAUGUGAGGGAGCUGAGGAAGGUUGACUGAGUUUUUUAGCUGACUGAUUUUUUUUAAUACUACUCCUCCUUCCAUAUAUAUAGGGCAUAAUGCAUUUUUUAAGACCGUCUUUAACUAUUGACAAGAUUAAUAGUACUCCCUCCGUAAACUAAUAUAAGAGCAUUUAGAUCACUAUUUUAGUGAUCUAAAUGCUCUUACAUUAGUUUACAGAGGGAGUACAUGACAUGCAUCAUGUAAAAAUUAUAUCAUUGAAAGCUCCUUUCACACACGAAUUUAAUGGUGUGCUUUGUGUAAGUUGCAUGUCAUAUAUUAUUGCCCUAAUAUUUGGUCAAAAUUAGCCUCGAAAAACGCAUUAGGCCAUAUAUAGAUGGAAGGGGGGAGUACUACUUCUUACUAAUAAUACUUCUAUUAGGCAGUGACCAGUGAGGGAUUGUGAGUGGGUGCGUCAUUGUCCAUACAAAAAAGAAUUAUCAUCGAUUAUUUAUUAUAGGGCAUGUCCAAUUCACCUGCGUGGGUGAGAUUUUUUUUCCAUCACAGCUUGUUACAGUCAUGAUCAUUUGAUGAUUUUAAAAGUAUUUUAAUACAAAUAUCAAUAGAAUUGAUAAAAAAUAUUAAGUAGAUUUAAGUUUAGUAAUCAUGCAGGUCAUCUUGUGGUAUGUGGAUGGUAUAUUUUAUGAAGUACUUCACAAGAGAUAUUUUGUCUGACACUCCACAAGUAUUUUUCGAUGUGUAUCAUUAUAUUUAUUCUAUGUUGUAUCACUAUUUAACUCUAAUACAGUAUUAUUUUAAUAGGAUUAUAUGACAGAUUUUAGAACAAAAUCAGUUGUCAUUUUAGCGGACUCGGAAUUGAAUGAUGAUGAUGAUGAUGAUGAUAUAAGAAAUCGAGACAUGGAAGAUGACGUUCAGGGUGCCACAAAUCACAUGGAUUGUAUGAUUCUUGGAUAGACCCUCUGAGAACCUCAAAACAUCAAAUACAUCAUCAGAAGUUGAGCUCAUCUCGCAAUCAUUUACCCUUUCAACGUCUCUCAAUCCAACAAAUGAUGACUUAUUGGAUGAAAUUUGCUUUUUUAUCAGUAUGGUUGAUGAUGUCGCUCUACUAGAGUGAGACAUAUUUUUUUUAGUUAAUUUUGAAUUCCAAUAAAUUACUACUCUGAUGUCAUUAUAACUGAGAGAGUUCUGAUUUUACAUUAGUGAAUGGGUGAAAAGGUCUAAUCUUUAUCCUAUUAGUUUAAAUUUGAGACAAGUAAAAAAACAUACGAGACAAUGAUGAAUACAUGGAUGUUGACUGAUUUAAUAUGUGUGUAGGGAUACUAGCGCGCCACGAAGUCCAGCUAUUCAGAGACAUUCCAUCUUACUAUAUGGAUCUAAACUUUUGUAUAAGUUACUAUAAUCACAUAUUACAUUUUGCCUCAUAUCACCAAUGUUUUCUUAUUCUUGUCUUAGUUGAUGUGCCAGUAUGCACGAGAUAGUCAUCGUGACAAUAUAGACAUUGGUAAAAUGAAAAUUAGAUUCAGAAUAUAUGUUUUUUAUUAUAGAUUAUGAUAUGUGCCUUCGAUCACAAAUAUGUCACACUUUUAGAAAUACAAUUUGAGUGACUUGACAACAUUUUGUAGCGAUCUAAAAUUUUGGAUAAAUAGUAUUUUAAUAUUGUACCAUGUGAAUUUAUUUUGUUUCAGACGUGCGUUGCACGUGCAUGCUUACUAGUGGUGUAAAUGAUCAAACCUUCUGAUGAGUGCAGGCAGUCCGAAAGGGAUCUUGAAUUGGAGCGCCAUCGCUGUGUGCUGCUACUGCUACUGGUUUUUUUUUUCUAGUACUGCUGGAUGGAGGUGUUGGGGCAUGUCUGAAACUUUGAAUUCAGUGUGCCUUUGUGCUGUCUGUUUCCUCAUGUAAAAUACCGGUCGUCUGGACUUUGAGUGGAGGCAUUUACCUGACUAAAUGAAGGAGGUUUACUUGAUCACGUACAAGUGUACAGGAAUGACCGUAUGAGAGGAUAGUUUGGGGAAGAAAUGGAAAAUAACGCUACUCUACGUUUUGGUUGCAAUAUCUAACUAGGAGUGUUGUCUUAAGUAUUAACGUUAGUUUUGGCCUAAUGCAAAUGCCAUUAAUAAGCCUACUGCAAAUGCCAUUAUUAGGGAUAUAUCAACAUACUACCUCCUUUUUCCGGUUUAUAAAGCUUGCGUGUAUCCCUAGAUCUAUACUUUUUUUAAACGGAGGCAAAAGCUUUGCCUCAUCCAUUAAUUAAGAUAGAAAAGAGUUUGUUACAAGACACCCAACAAACACGGCAUGCGGAUUACUCGCGUGAAAUAAAGAAUCCUAGCUUCUUUGCGUCGGUGAUGACCCAAAGGUUGGCCUCGGUAGAGAUGGAGGAGAGCAAGAUUGGCGGUGGAGCACUCUUAUACUUAAACACUCUUGUGUUACGCUCGUUCCAAAUCGUCCAUGAGACGAGCAUAGUGAGGGAGGCCUUGGCUUGGCGGUUCGGUGUACCAUUGGCGCAGGUGCUUGCCCACCACUUGUCCACCGAGUCGAACAGGGGCCAAGCGGAAGUGUCAAGCCCGUGCAUGAGGAAUUUCUCAAUGACCAAAGACCAAAGACGUCGGGUGUAGCGGCACUUGUAGAAGAGGUGAGGUCCACAUUCUUGCACCGUGCUGACCAUUUUGUCCAAGGGAGAAAGGACCAUCCCUAGGAACUGCGCCCUAUACGCGAAGGCCGCCGAGUAUUGCCCACAGGUAGUGUGUUUUCAAAGAAUAUCAUCUUCGUUGAGCUCGUCAAGAUGGACCUCAUUUAGUAUCAUCCAUAGAGCGAAGAAUUACGUGAUGUGCUCAAUAGAGACGUUGGUGGGAGGGGGUUGAUCUUGAGAAUCCAAGCGUGGUGCUUCAUGGCCUCCCUCACCUUCCAAUUCUUUCUCUUGGAGGCUUCAUAGAUGAGCGGGGCAAUGUCUUUAGGCAUUCUCCCAAGGAGCCAAGAAGAGUCCCAAAAGGGGGUCCUCGCACCGUUACCAACGGUGAUGGUGGUGGAAGCAUAGAAAAAAUUGAGGUCCUCCUCAUUACAUGGGUUUCCCGUUCCCACCCACAUUUUGGUGGGCUCCUUCCAUUCGUACCACGGCCAUCGCAAACAGAGAGCCCUCGUAGGAUCAAGAAUGAGCAUGGGUGGGUCACCGAGCACGACGCCAAAGAAAAGCUAAUCCACGAGCACUUCUCCAAGGUCAUGAAGAGAGGCCCCCGAAGUCGCAAAGAUUUCAAUUGGGAGGAGCUUAAUUUGGAACCACUUGAUUUGCAUGGCCUUGGCGCUCCAAUGGCCGAGUGUGAGGUUCUUGAAGCGAUCAACGACAUGCCUAGCGACAAGGCACCGGGGCCGGAUGGUUUCACGGGCCUCUUCUUCAAGAAAUGUCAGGGCAUUAUCAAAACCGACCUCAUGAGGGUCAUUUCGCAUUUUGACUCCUUGCACACGUCAAACCUCCACUGGCUCAACUCUGCAAAUGUGGUCCUUUUGCCUAAAAAGGAUGGGGUGGAGGGAAUCACCGACUAUAGACCCAUUAGCCUCAUCCAUGCGAUCGCGAAGAUUAUUGCGGAAGUGCUCUCCUUGAGACUUGGCCCUCAUAUGAAAAAUCUCGUCUCCAACGCCCAAAGCGCCUUCAUCAAAACAAGAAGCAUCCACGACAACUUUUGUAUGUUUGCAAUCUUGCUCGACGCCUCCAUGCGAGGAAGACCCCAUCCCUCCUUUUCAAGCUUGAUAUUCGAAAGGCCUUCGACUCUGUUAAGUGGGAAUACUUGCUUGAUCUGCUCCAAAGGCGAGGAUUUCCGAGCAAAUUCAGGGAUUGGAUCACAGCCCUCCUUAGCACCUCUUCCUUGAGGAUCAUCCUCAAUGGCAUUGCCGGCAGCCCCAUCAAGCAUGGACAGGGCCUUCGGCAGGGAGACCCCGUAUCCCCGCUCCUCUUCGUCAUCGCCAUCGAUCCGCUACAAAAAAAUUAGAUGUGGCAACACAGAGGGGUCUCCUCCAUAGAAUCCGGGGGCGGAGAGCCAUGUUGAGGCCUCCCUCUAUGCGGACGAUGCGGCCAUCUUCUUGGCUCCGAUUAAAAAGGAUGUUGACAACCUUGCAAGCAUUUUGAAGGGGUUCGGGGAGGUCACAGGCCUUUGCACCAAUUUCCAGAAGAGCUCGGUGGUGCCCAUUCGUUGCAACCACCUUGAUUUGGGUCGCUUAACUCAAAGUUUGCCGGCUGCACGGACCUCUUUCCCACUACGAUACUUGGGGCUCCCCCUCUCCGUUUGGAAGCUAAAGUUGGUGGAUCUCCAAUUUCUCGUGGACAAAGUUGCAAGCAAGUUAUCAAUGUAUGAUGGCCAGAACAUCACCACCAUUGGACGUAUGACCCUUGUCAAGUCCGUGAUCACUUCCCAACUGAUCUACCCCGCCACCCCAUUCGUCAUCCCACCAACCAUCCUUCACAGCGUCAACGAGCUUUCCUUUGGUCCGGUUCGGACAAGACAAUGGGGGCCAAAUGCAAGGUGAAUUGGGAGUAUGUUUGCUGGCCCCUUGAGUACGGAGGUAUAAGGGGUCUCAACUGCCCGGACCGACGAUCUACGGUGAAUGCAACGAUUGCCUCCUCGUUGUGCCAUAUUGUGUGCUUGCAAGAGACUAAGCUCGGCAACGUCGACCAAUUCACAACAGCUUUUUUGGGCGGGCACAGGCUGCAUAGCUUCGCGCAAAGACCUGCUUCGAGCACUAGGGGUGGCAUCUUGAUGCUCUGGGAUGAUCUCCUUGUGGAUGUUUCUUGCAUUAGCUUCACGACGUAUUGCCUCUCCGCCAUGGUCCGGGUGUGAGGGACCGACGUGCUUUUCAAAAUCACGACCGUCUAUGGCCCCACGGACUACUCUUGCAAAGAUGCUUUCUUUUCUGAGUUGCUAGCAGAGACGCCACCGUUAGGGAUGGCCUGGCUUGCCACUGGUGAUUUCAACCAAAUCUACCGAGCGCGAGAUAAAAAUAAGAGAAAUGUCAACAGAAGCAGGAUAAACCGUUUCAGGGCAACACUCCAGAGCUAUGAGCUUAAAGAAAUCCACCUCCAAAACUGGUGUUUCACUUGGAGUAAUGAUAGGACGAACCCAACCUUGUGCAAGCUAGACUCCUUUUUUUGCAACGUUGAUUGGGACACAACCUUCAACACCCAUGUUCUUAAUGCACUUUCUUCCUCCCUCUCCGAUCACUGUUCGCUUCUGCUUGCCGAUGACAAGGGGCCAAGAAUACAUCGGGUCUUUAAGUUUGAAAACUUUUGGGCAUCCAUGCCCAGGUUUGAGGAGGUGGUACAAAAGGCGUGGAACGAGAGGAUUGACCACACCGAGCCAUACCAAGCGCUUUACCACAAACUCAAAAAGACUGCACUUCGACUCUCCGAAUGGAGUAGGGGCCUUUUCUCCAAGGCUAAAAUUCACUACCAGGCUGCGCUUUUGGUGAUCCUUCGCCUUGACAUCGCUCAGGAGAAUAGACUCCUCUCCGCCGAGGAACUUGAGCUCCGGGCUAGGCUCAAGAGAAGGGUCAUUGCCUUGGCCGUGCUCGAAAGAUCGCGUAAGAGGCAAUGUGCAAGAAUUUCCAAUCUUGAAGAAGGCGAUGCAAAUAGAUCUAUACUUUGACAAACAUAAGAUGAGUUAUAUAGUCUAAAUAUUACAUCACUAGAAAUUAUACGAUUUGAAGUUUCUAAUGAUAUAUAAGAGUGUUUAGAUCAUUACUUUAUUUUAGUGAUCUAAACGCUUGUAUUUUUUAUGGAGGGAGUACUACUUACUAUAUCCUUCCAUUGUUUCCAGAUUCUUACCUUGCCAAACCAACCAUCUCACUGCCAUUUUGACUCGAAGAGGAAAAGGAUGGCAGAUGGCACCAACAAAACGGAAUGGCAUAAACUGGACGUAUCGGGUGGGGAAAUUAUGUUAGGCUGCCAAAUAUAAUCCUCCUCCCACACGUUAUUCCAAGUUCGUCUCUCCGUGGUUCAGAAGGCGUGGGAUGAGUGGGUCAACCACACCGAGCCUUUCCAAAUCCUUCAUCAUAGGCUCAAGAAAACCGCGACCCGGCUUACUGAGUGGAGCAAGAAGUUUUUCUCCAAGGCCAAGAUCCAACUCUAUGCGGCUCGCCUGGUGAUCCUCCAUUUGGAUACUACGCAAGAAGGAAGGGCCCUCUCCCCUGCGGAGUGAUAACCCACAAGUAUAUGGGAUCAAUUGUAGCCUCUUUAGAUAAGUAAGAGUGUUGAACCCAGCAAGGAGUUAAAGGUAGAACAAAUAUUCCCUCAAGUUCUAUCGACUAUCGAUACAACUCUACGCACGCUUGACGUUCGCUUUACCUAGAACAAGUAUGAAACUAGAAGUACUUUGUAGGUGUUGUUGGAUAGGUUUGCAAGAUAAUAAAGAGCGCGUAAAUAAAAGGUAGGGGCUGUUUAGAUAAAGACACAACUAAAUUAAUUUUAGUAAAGAGCUUUUUGUCACGAGAACAUUAUUUGUCCCUAGGCAAUCAAUAACUAGACCAGUAAUCAUUAUUGCAAUUUUAUUUGAGGCAGAGGCAUAAGCUAACAUACUUUCUCUACUUGGAUCAUAUGCACUUAUGAUUGGAACUCUAGCAAGCGUCCGCAACUACUAAAGAUCAUUAAGGUAAAACCCAACCAUAGCAUUCAAGUAUCAAGUCCUCUUUAUUCCCAUACGCAAACAACCUACUUACUCGGGUAUGUGCUUCCGUCACUCACGCCACCCACCAUAAGCAAAUCAUGAAUAUAUUGCAAACCCUACAGCGGGGAUCCCUCACGCUUGUGCGACACGGAGAGCACCAUAGGACAGCACCAAUAAUAAAACAUGCAACUCAAACCAAUCAAGAUCAUCAAUGAACCCAUAGGACAAAAUGGAUCUACUCAAACAUCAUAGGUGUGACACCCCCGAUUUAAUCGUACACUACUCAUACAUGCAAACGUGUACGAUCAAGAUCAGGGACUCACGGGAAGAUAUCACAACACAACUCUACAAAUAAAAUAAGUCAUACAAGCAUCAUAUUACAAGCCAGGGGCCUUGAAGGCUCGAAUACAAGAGCUCGAUCAUAGACGAGUCAGCGGAAGUAACAAUAUCUGAGUACAGACAUAAGUUAAACAAGUUUGCCUUAAGAAGGCUAGCACAAACUGGGAUACAGAUCGAAAGAGGUGCAGGCCUCCUGCCUGGGAUCCUCCUAAACUACUCCUGGUCGUCGUCGGCGGGCUGCACGUAGUAGUAGGCACCUCCGGUGUAGUAGGAGUCCUCGUCAACGGUGGCGUCUGGAUCCUGGACUCCAGCAUCUGGUUGCGACAACCAGAAAGAAAGAAAAGGGGGGAAAAGGGGGAGAAAGCAACCGUGAGUACUCAUCCAAAGUACUCGCAAGCAAGGAGCUACACUACAUAUGCAUGGGUAUAUGUGUAAAGGGCCAUAUCGGUGGACUGAACUGCAGAAUGCCAGAAUAAGAGGGGGGAAAGCUAGUCCUAUCGAAGACUACGCUUCUGGCAGCCUCCAUCUUGCAGCAUGUAGAAGAGAGUAGACUGAAGUCCUCCAAGUAGCAUCGCAUAGCAUAAACCUAACCGGUGAUCCUCCCCUCGUCGCCCAGUUAGAGAGCGAUCACCGGGUUGUAUCUAGCACUUGGAAGGGUGUGUUUUAUUAAGUAUCCGGUUCUAGUUGUCAUAAGGUCAAGGUACAACUCCAAGUCGCCCUGUUGGCCGGGCACACUUUCCUGGGUCAUGCCCGGCCUCGGAAGAUCAACACGUCGUAGCCCUACCUAGGCACAAUAGAGAGGUCAGCACGCCGGUCUAAAUCCUAUGGCGUAGGGGUCUGGGCCCAUCGCCCAUUGCACACCUGCAUGUUGCGAGGGUGGCCUGAAGCAGAACUAGCCCCCUUAAUACAAGAGCAGGCUUACGUUCCAAUCCGGCGCGCGCCGCUCAGUCGCUGACGUCACGAAGGCUUCGGCUGAUACCACGACGUCGAGUGCCCAUAACUGUCCCCGCGUAGAUGGUUAGUGCGUAUAUGCCAGUAGCCAGACUCAAAUCAAAUACCAAGAUCUCGUUAAGCGUGUUAAGUAUCCGCGAACGCCGACCAGGGCCAGGCCCACCUCUCUCCUAGGUGGUCUCAACCUGCCCUAUCGCUCCGCCACAAAGUAACAGUCGGGGGCCGUCGGGAACCCAUGCCCACCUCUACCGGGAUGGAGCCACCUACCCCUUCAGCCCCCAACUCCGAAUAGUAUCAUAAGGGAUGUAACAAUAUAAAGUAUAUAGCAUAUGCCCGUGAUCACCUCCCGAAGUGAUCACGGCCCAGUAGUAUAGCAUGGCAAACGGACAAGAGUGUAGGGCCAUUGAUGGAACACUAGCAUCCUAUACUAAGCAGUAGGAUAGCAGGUAAGGGUAACAACUGUAGCAACAAUGACAGGCUAUGCAGUAGAAUAGGAUUAACCGAAAGCAGUAACAUGCUACACUACUCUAAUGCAAGCAGUAGAGAAGAAUAGGCGAUAUCUGGUGAUCAAGGGGGGGCUUGCCUGGUUGCUCUCGCAAGUAGGGGUCGUCUUCGAUGUAGUCGAACACACGGACAUCGGCAGCGGUCUCGGAGUCUACCGGAAAGAAGUAACGGAGGGGGAAUACAAUAAAUAAUAGAGUAAUCAAAGCAUUACAAAGCAUAACAAGGCAAUGCGCGGUACUAGAGGUGACCUAACGCAGUAGGAGGGGAUACCGGCGAAGGGGGGGAACAUCCGGGAAAGUAUCCCCGGUGUUUCACGUUUCCGGGCAAAUGAACCGGAGGGGGAAAGUUAUGUGUUCGCUAUGCUAGGAAUGUGUGGAGGAUGAACGGGCUGCGUAUUCGCAUUCUUCUCGUCGUUCUGAGCAACUUUCAUGUACAAAGUUUUUUCAUCCGAGUUACAAUUUAUUUUAUAUGAUUUUUUGAAGUUUAAAUCAAUUUCUAGAAUUACUAAUCUAUUAUUAAUAUGAAAAUCAAAUAGCAAAAAUUCUAAGUGCACCCGGUGCAGUGCACCCAGAGUGCACCAGGGGUUGACAAUGGGGCCAGUCAACUGUCCAGUCAGCAGUUGACUGGUCCACGGUUGAAUAGUCAAUGGGUAUGGUGGGACCCACAUGUCAGUGCCUUAUCUAUUGCUUAUCUAUUUUUAUUUUAUUCUAAUUCCUUGAUUCUUUUCUACUUCUUUUUAAUAGGCCGUCCCCACGUGCAGUGGCUCAGGCCAUGGUUGGGUGGCUGGGAACGCACACAGGCGCUCCCAGAGAGACGUCGGCGGCGACGACGCAUGACGAGGAGCCGCAGCGCAGGGGCGAACGAGAUGGGUGAGGCCGGCGAGGCCAACGCGCGGGCGCGCGGUCAGCUAGUCGGGGCGAGUGGCGGACGAAGCCGGCGAGGGCGAGUGGAGACGCAGGAGAGGAGCAGCGGCGCCGGGGGAAGUGGGGCGCGAGCGGGCGGUCCGGCGCAGCAGAGCAACGCGGUAGUGACGGCCAGAGACGGGUGCGACUAGUCGCGGCGGGGCCAGCAGCAGCGGCUCGAGCCAGCGAGCCACAGCAGAACACAGCAGUGCAGCGGGGCGUAGUAGUGGGGGCGAGCAGGGUCGAUGAGGGGACUGAGGCAGCUGCGGGGCACGGCCGGCGAGCGACGCGAACGACCACGGCUAGCGAACGCGGGACACGGCCAGGGAGUGCCCCUGGGGUGGCCAGGACGCCGUGAGCGCGACCACACAGUGGUGAGCGACAGUGGUGAGCGCGAGCUCCGGCGCGGCGGCGUACAAGUUCUACGACGACGGAUUCGACAUGAAAAAAGGGGGGAAUCGGUGGAGGUGAUCACCACGAAGCUCGUGGACGUGGUCAGGAGGUCGGGGGCGCUCGGGAGGCGGCGCAUCUGAUGACGAACAUCGGUGGCCGUGGCGAAGAAGACGGGCGAUGGCGAGCUUCCGGUGCGUCUGAGCUCGAACCGAUGCACGUAGUCGGUGGAGGCGGAGGCGCUGAAGCUCCAGGGCAUGCUCUCGGGUGACGGGGAUGUCGAUGGCCGCGGGAUCGAUGCGACAACGACGACCAUGAGCUUCAGGCGACGAACAAACGAAAGAGAGAGAGCACGAGGGGAUAAGUGACGAUUAAGGUUUGUCUAUGGGGUUGGGGGUCUUCUUAUCCAUCUCCAGGGUACUCCAGAUGAUCGACACGGUGACAAUCGGCGGCGUGGACGGUGUGCGUGCGUGCACAGCACCAUGGCCUCCUCUGCACUGUACAGAGGUGGGAGGAAAAGCCUUUGUGGGCUGGGCCAAAACACAAUAGCUACAUAGAGCCCACCAGCACAGGAGCUUGUUGGUUUUUUUUUUGUUUUUUUCCUUUUACUGAUUUUCCUAUUAUGUUUUCUUUUAGUCUCUAAUUUAUUUACUAUUCUAAAAAGAUAAAAGUAGUUCCUGAUUUAGUUUAACUAAAUAUACUACUGCCAUAUUUAACUAUGGCACCCAGAUAAAAUAGUUUAGUAUUUUACUAAAUAUAAAAGGCAUUUAUUUAAUUGUUUAAGAUGUUGUUUUAUUUAUUGUAGUGUAUUAAAAUAAUUUAUGAAAAUGUGGUUUCACCACCAUAAUCAUCUAGGAUUUAUUUGCUACAUUUCGAACACUUUAGAUUUAAUAUUUGAAAACUUUUAUUGUUUGCUUGAUUUUGAAUUUGAAUUUGAAUCGGUUUCGAACUAACUCGAGUUUAUCAACAGUAAUCGAGGUGACGUGGCACCAUUAGCAGAGUUUUACUGUACCUUGAUUAUCCGGGCGUCACAAUUCUCCUCCACUACAAGAAAUCUCGUCCCGAGAUUUAAGAGGGAAGUAAAGGGGGAAGGUUCGGGUUACGAAAUUCCAGGGAGUGUUCUUGGUCUUGGUUGUUCUUCUUGAAGAGGUUGAUCCAUUACAUUGAUGUCUUCAUUUCGCUGUUUCAGGUCAUCAUGAUGAAGUUGUCGUCCUUUUGGUCGUUCUUCUCGAAGAGGUUGAUCCAUUACAUUGAUGUCUUCAUUUCGCUGUUUCAGGUCAUCAUGAUGAAGUUGGCAUCCUUUCUUCGGGAACUCCAUCGUACUUACGAAUAGGUAAGGGGCAGCUUUACAACAAUUGAAUGUUAUAAAGGAAAAUCAUCUGGGCGGGGGUAUCCCAAGAAUGAUCAUAAGAGUAUCUCUCGAGUUGAACAAGUGAAACACAUCGAGAGCAAAGUAAGAAGGUACCAUAAGAAGUUUGAAGCGGAUAGACAAUCAUCGUUGCCUGAAACAAGGCAACGGGUAUAGGUAUUGUGUUUAAUACCAGAAUUGAUGAUCACACGGAAGGUGGCUCGUGAAUUACAUACGAAGCCAAGCGUGACGAAUAACUUUAGAAACAGGGUUGUACGGGAGAGUCAGGUUUCGAUCCUGUGGAACUGUGGGUUAUGGGCCCACCGUGUGGGUUAAAAGUAGGAAGGCGGUGACGAUUUGCACGAUGAUGUAAGAAAGGCAUGUCAGAGGAUAACCUGUCAGCUAUGUCGGCAACAACAUCGAUACCAAGGGCGAGGGACGAAGAGAACCAUUUUCCUGCUCGUUGAAACGAGGCGGACCAAUAGGCAAAGUUCCCGUCCAUCGGUGGCUACCGGGAUGUCAUCAACAAUAGUAGCAGGGUCUUGCUGGCAGAAUUGUACACCUGGGUGUUUACAUAAGCAGGAGGAUAUUACUGCUUAGAUCAUACAGACCUCAAGAAGGCUAAACAGAACAAUGGAAAGGAAAAUAUGAUUAUCAGAUUAAACAGAACAAUGGAACGGAAAAUGUGUUUAAACACAUAUUGCAGGGGUAUAUCCUUCCCAAGGACAAGCAGAGCAUGAUAUCCAUGUCAGGAUAUAAUGUAGAAAACUCUUUAGGUAAGGUGAGCGAAAUUUCAUGACUUUACCCAUACAGCGGUGUUUGGAUAUUUGAGCAGGAAACAUUUAGCAUCUGGGCUUCAAAUGUUCUUGUUGAAAAUCGGAGUACCACCGACAUGCUUCGAGAUAGCAUUGACAAGGUCUUCAAGCAAAGGUCAGACUCAGGAUGCCUGAGAAGAAAAAGGUGCGACACAAAUUGACGAGAUGACAUUGUAAGAUCCUCGGGAAAUGAACUAUGGAAGCGAGUUCUGAAACAAGAGUUCAUCAUUAAUCCAAGGGGUGACGAGGGGGUGGCUGAUGGACUCAGCGACAAUUCAUCAAGAUUAACCAAAGAUGAUUUCCACAAUUAUGUGAACAAGGAGAUAACAUUAGUCAGAUCAAAUGAUAUAAUGAUGUAUGUCAGAUGACAACAUACACAAUUGAACAAUGAUAGAAAGGUGCACCCGGAAAUCUGGACUAAGUAGCACGAUCAAUGUCCGAAUGAUGAUUCAAUAAGCAAUAGACUUAGAAUGAAACUGUAGACCAAUAACUUCAAAGCAAUAGGGUUGCUAGAAGUUUAGAAUUUACACAUCACAGACCAUUUGUCGGUAUUCCGGUUAGAAACAACACAGAGACCAAGAAAUGAACGCAAAAGGCGAGAGAUAUUACUAUAUCAAGAAUUCUCAAGAGGUGGUAAAAUUACCACGACAUCCUUGACAUAGAAGGUGGUAACAUUCCAAGGUAAAGAAGAACAAAUGUUGGAUAGCAAGGAUCUCAAGGUAUAACACAAAACACGAAUAAGUUUGUGUUGAAAGGAAGGCGAUAAAGUGGUCAGUGAUAACACAAACCAUUGAGGGGCGAGGAUGGUAUUUCUCAUCAAGAAUUCAAUAUAUAUCUUGGAAGAGCUCAGGAUGUUGCUGAUGACCACGACACAUUUGUCGAGAGAUUUCAUGAAGAUGUAAUCGGUCGGCGAUGACAUCAAGUCAAAUGAUGAUGCAGCGAAAGUCAAAUAAUACUUGAAUAAGAACUCAUAAUAAGUUAUGCAGUUCCGUGAUAAUCUCGAGAUACCAGAGGGGGUAAUACUCGACGAUAGAUCAAAGUAGAGGUUGGACUGGGGUAUUGCUCUACAUAAGACAAGCGCUUAAACUUGCAUGCAAAAUGGAAUCAAGGAGAAACAUGGUCGGAACCAUGUCCACAGAUACAAGAUGAACUUAUAACAAGGGGAUAAUUAUUUUAAGAGAAGCUUCCAUGAUAAGGUAUACAUCAUUUCCAUGGGCAUGAACACAGGGUUCAGGUCGAGUCCCACUUGUUCAACGCAUAACCUUUCAUUCACCUCUCGUAUUUUGAAAAUGACAUUAGUUGUUGAAAGUUUUACCUGGUGCAAUACCAGAUAAGUAUGACCCGUGAAAUCUUCCGGGUUUGCACAGAUUAGGGAAGGCAUUAGUUCAAACCAUCGGGCAUCUUAGGAACAUAUAUCACAAACUUCAGGAGUAAAUAACACAAGCUCGAAAGUAGAGCAUGGUUGUCAAGGGAGAGGAUACAAUUUACCAAAGGCAUUAUAUACCUGUGGAAAGGCUCACAAGGUUAUUGAAUAUUAAGGACGAUGUCAAAUGAAAUCCAACAAUGGAUCUGACGAUCCACAACGGAGCUGAUGUGAGUAUCGGUACUCUACCAGAAGAAGAAAGAAUACAAGGGGAUCAGAUGAUAGAAACAACUGACUAACUCAAAGCUCAAUUGCACAGGAAUUAUGAUUCCAAGAUAAGGGAUCAGAAGCAAUGCUCUGAAUAGGGAUGGAUAAGUUGAAUAGUCUUAGAGGUACAAUCAUCGGCAAUUUGAUUGGUCGAGAACCGACUCAUGUUUAAAAUGGCGUCUGAGCCGGAAGGAUGAAUUCUAGGAUCUAGUUGAGGAUUGCGAACAUUCGCACUCAUUGAAUCAAUGGGCUCAAAAUGAUAGUGGCAAGGGAUGCCAAUAAGAUUACUAGACUUAUGGGGUUAACCAUAAUGCAAGCAAGUAAGAAUUUCUAGAACAACAUGCUGUUGAGGAUUUUCGAAAGAUCGAAUAGUAUUUCGAAGAUUUUUGUGAAACAGAUGAACAACUGGGGAGAAACAAAUCCUCGGUAUGUGUGAGGAAUAAUUUGUAGGUGUAUUCAGGCGAGCAGAAACUACAACGCAAUAGGCACAGAGUUAUCUCGUAGCAAUAGAGAGAAUUUCGGGGUAUCUUGUAAUAACAAGAUCAAUUGGGAAUAGAAGUAAGAACGACAGGUGUAAGCAUUUAUCCAUAGGGAUAUUUCAGUGGUAGGGAAUUGUAAAAGCAACGGGCACAAGGUCUCGAGAAAAUAUUGGAGAGUAUCUUCGAAAUCUUCUUGUGUAGCAGACGAUCAUCUGUAACAAGGGGCUCUCCGAGAGAAAGUUGUUAUGAGAACCUAAUGUUAGAGUUUAGCAAAUUCAUUUAACCCGAAUAGAAGAGAGAUCAGAGUCCCAGAGUAUAGACAAGGAGUAAAAGAUACUAAUACCACCCAGAUGGUGACGUGGGCUCGUAAGGCACACAGCCAUGUUAGUAAAAAGUUUAGUAAUGUCUAGACUCGACUUCGGCCAAGGAGUGUGGAAGGGGGAUUCCUACAGGUAGUCGGCUCUGAUACCAACUUGUGACGCCCCUGAUUUAAUCGUACACUAAUCAUACACGCAAACGUGUACGAUCAAGAUCAGGGACUCACGGGAAGAUAUCACAACACAACUCUACAAAUAAAAUAAGUCAUACAAGCAUCAUAUUACAAGCCAGGGGCCUCGAAGGAUCGAAUACAAGAGCUCGAUCAUAGACGAGUCAGCGGAAGCAACAACAUCUGAGUAUAGACAUAAGUUAAACAAGUUUGCCUUAAGAAGGCUAGCACAAACUGGGAUACAGAUCGAAAGAGGUGCAGGCCUCCUGCCUGGGAUCCUCAUAAACUACUCCUGGUCGUAGUCAGCGGGCUGCAUGUAGUAGUAGGAACCUCCGGUGUAGUAGGAGUCGUCGUCAACGGUGGCAUCUGGAUCCUGGACUCCAGCAUCUGGUUGCGACAACCAGAAAGAAAGAAAAGGGGGAAAAGGGGGGAGAAAGCAACCGUGAGUACUCAUCCAAAGUACUCGCAAGUAAGGAGCUACACUACAUAUGCAUGGGUAUAUGUGUAAAGGGCCAUAUCGGUGGACUGAACUGCAGAAUGCCAGAAUAAGAGGGGGGAAAGCUAGUCCUAUCGAAGACUACGCUUCUGGCAGCCUCCGUCUUGCAGCAUGUAGAAGAGAGUAGACUGAAGUCCUCCAAGUAGCAUCGCAUAGCAUAAACCUAACCGGCGAUCCUCCCCUCAUCGCCCUGUUAGAGAGCGAUCACCGGGUUGUAUCUGGCACUUGGAAGGGUGUGUUUUAUUAAGUAUCCGGUUCUAGUUGUCAUAAGGUCAAGGUACAACUCCAAGUCGCCCUGUUACCGAAGAUCACGGCUAUUCGAAUAGAUUAACUUCCCUGCAUGGGUGCACCACAUAACCCAACACGCUCGAUCCCAUUUGGCCGGGCACACUUUCCUGGGUCAUGCCCGGCCUCGGAAGAUCAACACGUCGCAGCCCUACCUAGGCACAAUAGAGAGGUCAGCACGCCGGUCUAAAUCCUAUGGCGUAGGGGUCUGGGCCCAUCACCCAUUGCAUACCUGCACGUUGCGAGGGUGGCCGGAAGCAGAACUAGCCCCCUUAAUACAAGAGCAGGCUUACGUUCCAAUCCGGCGCGCCGCUCAGUCGCUGACGUCAUGAAGGCUUCGACUGAUACCACGACGUCGAGUGCCCAUAACUGUCCCCGCGUAGAUGGUUAGUGCGUAUAGGCCAGUAGCCAGACUCAAAUCAAAUACCAAGAUCUCGUUAAGCGUGUUAAGUAUCCGCGAACUCCGACCAGGGCCAAGCCCACCUCUCUCCUAGGUGGUCUCAACCUGCCCUGUCGCUCUGCCACAAAGUAACAAUCGGGGGCCGUCGGAAACCCAGGCCCACCUCUACCGGGAUGGAGCCACCUGCCCCUUCAGCCCCCAACUCCGAACAGUAUCAUAAGUAAUGUAACAGUAUAAAGUAUAUAGCAUAUGCCCGUGAUCACCUCCCGAAGUGAUCACGGCCCAGUAGUAUAGCAUGGCAGACGGACAAGAGUGUAGGGCCAUUGAUGGAACACUAGCAUCCUAUACUAAGCAGUAGGAUAGCAGGUAAGGGUAACAACUGUAGCAACAAUGACAGGCUAUGCAGUAGAAUAGGAUUAACCGAAAGCAGUAACAUGCUACACUACUCCAAUGCAAGCAAUAGAGAAGAAUAGGCGAUAUCUGGUGAUCAAGGGGGGCUUGCCUGGUUGCUCUGGCAAGUAGGGGUUGUCUUCGAUGUAGUCGAACACACGGACAUCAGCAGCGGUCUCGGAUUCUACCGGAAAGAAGUAACGGAGGGGGAAUACAAUAAAUAAUAGAGCAAUCAAAGCAUUACAAAGCAUAACAAGGCAAUGCGCGGUACUAGAGGUGACCUAACACAGUAGGAGGGGAUACCGGCGAAGGGGGGAAACAUCCGAGAAAGUAUCCCCAGUGUUUCACGUUUUCGGGCAAAUAAACCGGAGGGGGAAAGUUGUGUGUUCGCUAUGCUAGGAAUGUGUGGCGGACGAACGGGUUGCGUAUUCGGAUACGUCUCAUCGUUCUGAGCAACUUUCAUGUAUAAAGUUUUUUCAUCCGAGUUACGAUUUAUUUUAUAUGAUUUUUCGAAGUUUAAAUCAAUUUCUAGAAUUACUAAUCUAUUAUUAAUAUGAAAAUCAAAUAGCGAAAAUUCUAAGUGCACCCGGUGCAGUGCACCCGGUGCAGUGCACCCAGAGUGCAACAGGGGUUGACGAUGGGGCCAGUCAACUGCCCAGUCAGCAGUUGACUGGUCCAUGGUUGAAUAGUCAAUGGGUCUGGUGGGACCCACAUGUCAGUGCCUUAUCUAUUGCUUAUCUAUUUUUAUUUUAUUCUAAUUCCUUAAUUCUUUUCUUCUUCUUUUUAAUAGGCCGGCCCCAUGUGAAGUGGCUCGGGCCACGGUUGGGUGGCUGGGAACGCACACAUGCGCUCCCAGAGAGACGCCGACGGCGACGACGCAUGACGAGGAGGCGCAGUGCAGGGGCGAACGAGAUGGGCGAGGCCGGCGAGGCCAGCGCGCGGUCAGCUAGUCGGGGUGAGUGGCGGACGGAGCCGACGAGGGCGAGUGGCGGCGCAGGAGAGGAGCAGCAGCGCCGGGGGAAGUGGGGCACGAGCGGGCGGUCCGGCGCAACAGAGCAACGCGGUAGCGACGGCCGGAGACGGGUGCGACUAGUCGCGGCGGGGCCAGCAGCAGCGGCUCGAGCCAGCGAGCCACAGCAGAACACAGCAGCGCAACGGGGCGUAGUAGUGGGGGUGAGCAGGGUCGAUGAGGGGACUGAGGCAGCUGCGGGGCACGGCCGGCGAGCGACGCGAACGACCACGGCUAGCGGACGCGGGACACGGCCAGGGAGUGCCCCUGGGGCGGCCAGGACGCCGUGAGCGCGACCACACAGUGGUGAGCGACAGUGGUGAGCGCGAGCUCCGGCGCGGCGGCGUACAAGUUCUACGACGACGGAUUCGACAUGAAAAAAGGGGGGAAUCGGUGGAGGUGAUCACCACGGAGCUCGUGGACGUGGUCAGGAGGUCGGGGCGCUCGGGAGGCGGCGCAUCUGACGACGAACAUCGGUGGCCGUGGCGAAGAAGACGGGCGAUGGCGAGCUUCCGGUGCGUCCGAGCUCGAACCGAUGCACGUAGUCGGUGGAGGCGGAGGCGCUGAAGCUCCAGGGCAUGCUCUCGGGUGACGGGGAUGCCGAUGGCCGCGGGAUCGACGCAACAACGACGACCAUGAGCUUCAGGCGACAAACAAACGAAAGAGAGAGAGCACGAGAGGAUAAGUGACGAUUAGGGUUUGUCUAUGGGGUUGGGGGUCUUCUUAUCCAUCUGCAGGGUACUCCAGAUGAUUGACACGGCGACAAUCGGCGGCGUGGACGGUGUGCGUGCGUGCACAGCACCAUGGCCUCCUCUGCGCUGUACAGAGGUGGGAGAAAAGCCUUUGUGGGCUGGGCCAAAACACUAUAGCUACAUAGAGCCCACCAGCACAGGAGCUUGUUAUUUUUUUUCCUUUUACUGAUUUUCCUAUUAUGUUUUCUUUUAGUCUCUAAUUUAUUUACUAUUCUAAAAAGAUAAAAGUAGUUCCUGAUUUAGAUAACUAAAUAUACUACUGCCAUAUUUAACUAUGGCACCCAAAUAAAAUAGUUUAGUAUUUUACUAAAAAUAAAAGGCAUUUAUUUAAUUGUUUAAGAUGUUGUUUUAUUUAUUGUAGUGUAUUAAAAUAAUUUAUAAAAAUGUGGUUUCACCACCAUAAUCAUCUAGGAUUUAUUUGCUACAUUUCGAGCACUUUAGAUUUAAUAUUUGAAAACUUUUAUUGUUUGCUUGAUUUUGAAUUUGAAUUUGAAUCGGUUUCGAACUAACUCGAGUUUAUCAACAGUAACCGAGGUGACAUGGCACCAUCAGCAGAGUUUUACUGUAGCUUGAUUAUCCGGGCGUCACAAUAGGAUAGCCAUACACAUUGAGAAAUAAUAUAUAGCGUUGAGCACCAUGUUUAAGUAGAGAUUACAACGGGUAAAAGAGGGGUUACAGCACUGCAUAGAGGGGGGAAGAGUUGGUGAUGAGGGCGGUGAAGUUGUUGGUGUAGAUUGCGGUGAUGAUGAUGGCCCCGACGGCACUCCGGUGCCACCAGAAGCGAUGGGGAGAGAGCCCCCCUCCUUCUUCUUCCUCCUUGACCUUCUCCCUAGAUGGGAGAAGGGUUUCCCCUCUGGUCCUUGGCCUCCAUUGCGUGGGAGGGUUAAGAGCCCCUCUGAGAUUGGAUCUGUCUCUCUGUUUCUGCGUUCUUUGAUUCUGCCCUUUCACCGUUUCUUAAAUUCCUGGAGAUCCGUAACUCCGAUUGGGCUCAAAUUUUAACACGAUCUCUAUCCGGAUAUUAAAUUUCUUCCGGGAAAGAAGGGCAUCAACUGCCUUACGGGGUGGCCACGAGGGCCCAGGGAGCGCCUGACCCCCUGGGGCGCGCCCCCCUGCCUUGUGGCCCCCUCGGGUAUCGUCUCGCGUUCAUUCUUCUUCCCAAAAUUCACAUAUAUUCCAAAAAAAUCUCCGUCUGUUUUUAUCCCGUUUGGACACCGUUUGAUAUGGAUUUUCUGCGAAACAAAAAACAAGCAACAAACAGAAACUGGCACUGGGCACUAGAUCAAUAUGUUAGUCCCAAAAAUAGUAUAUAAAGUUGCUAAAAAUAUAUAAAAAUUGUAGAAUAUUGGCAUGGAACAAUCAAAAAUUAUAGAUACGAUGGAGACGUAUCACGGAGCGAUGCCUACAUGCUAGGCUCAAGCAUCGCAUGGUUAGCUUGACGGUUCUGGAGUGGGCUCGAAAGAACCAAUGUGCUAGGUUGGCAAAUCUGAGGGAGGGUGAUGCCAACACCAAAUUCUUCCACCGUCGCAUCAAUGCCCGUAGGCGAAAAAACCACAUUCACUGGUUAAAGCAUGCUCAAGGUUGGGUGACUGAGCAUAAGUAAAAAGAGAAGAUCAUCCACGACCACUUCUCCGAGGUCAUGGGGUGGGCAAGCACGAGUAAGAAUGAUUUCAAUGGGAUGAAUUGGACAUCGAGAACCAUGCCUUGCAAGACCUCUGACUCCGCCAUCACUGAGGAGGAGGUUUGGAAGGCUAUAAAGUAGAUGCCUAGUGAUAAGGCGCCGAGUCCAGAUGGAUUCACGGGGAUGUUCUUCAAGAAGUGCUUGGGAACCAUCAAGCAUUCGAUCAUGGGGGUCAUUCAACGAUUCGAUUCUCUGCACACCUCCAACCUCCAGUGGCUAAAUUCGGCCAACGUUAUUUUGUUGCCAAAGAAGGAUGGUGCGGAAGGCAUCUCUGACUAUAGGCCCAUUAAUCUCAUCCACGCCAUCGCUAAAAUUAUUGCCAAGAUUCUCUCGCUUCGGCUUGCGCCUCACAUGGAUGAUCUUGUCUCCAACGCCCAGAGUGCAUUCAUCGAAAGGAGAAGUAUUCACAACAACUUCAUGUAUGGUCGAAACUUCGCCCGACGUCUUCACAAAUGCAAAACACCCGCACUCCUCUUCAAGCUUGAUAUUAAGAAGGCGUUUGACUCGGUCAAGUGGGGAUACAUCUUAGAGAUUCUCCAGUGGUUGGGCUUCCCACCCAAAUUUCGGGCUUGGAUUGUUGCGUUGUUAUCAUCUUUUUCAUCUCGGAUUAUGUUAAAUGGGUUGCCCGACACAUCGACAAUCUUGCCUACUGCAAAUGCCAUUAUUAAGGACAUAUCAACAUACUACCUCCUUUCCGGUUUAUAAGGCUUGUGCAUAUUCCUAGAUCUAUACUUUGACAAACAUAAGAUGACUUAUAUAGUCUAAAUAUUACACCAUUAGAAAUUAUACGAUUUGAAGUUUCUAAUGAUACAUAAGAACAUUUAGAUCAUUACUUUAUUUUAGUGAUCUAUACGCUUGUAUUUCUUUACGGAGGGAUACUACAUAUAUCCUUUCAUGACAUCACAACCAUCCUGUUGUUUCCAGAUUCUUGCCUUGCCAAACCAACCAGCUCGCUGCCAUUUUGCCUCGAAGAGGAAGUGAUGGCAUAUGGCACCAACAAAACGGAAUGGUAUAAGCUGGACGUAUCGGGUGGGGGAAAUAAUGUUAGGCCGCCGAAUAUAGAUCCUCCUCGCACACGUUAUUCCAAGUUCCUCUGUCUCAUAUUCCCUUUAAAAAAAAGUUCGCCUGUCUCAUCACUCCCAGAACUGUUGACGCUCCAUCAUUCCUCAAUCCUCGCCUUUGUGGGUUGUGGCCGAGAUGUACUACUCAGAUUCCUUCCCUUUCUCCCAAGGACAAAUAAUAGGAUGUGCUUUAUCUGAAAGUUACCUUUCACUGCUCCUGCUUUAUGUACCCUCGGUCCUGCCCCGAGAUGCAAUUGUCAGCCGCUCGAUCGAUCGCUGGAUAUUACUAAAGGAGCACACAGGAUUAGGUGACAGCCGAGCAGGAUAGUCCAGGCACAGGCAUAGAUCGAGAACAUGGAGACCAGCAGCAGUGAGAAGCGUGUAGGGGGAAUCAACGAGUUCGUCUCGAUCCGAUGCAGUGCAGUUCGACCACGUGCGUGCAAACUGUACUACAGCAAGAUCAUGUCAGAUCACAAAAUUAUCAGUAGAUGAUAUGUUCUGCCGUCUCGGUCCGAUGCAGUUCGACUCGACCACGUGCGUGCAAACUGUACUUACAACAAGAUCAUGUCAGAUCACGCAAUUAUCAGUGAUAUGAUCCGCCGUCUCGAUUCAUAUCAUGCGUACGGUCCCAGAACGCAGAGGGUUGGUUGUUAACUAACGCCGAAAACUUGCGUCACAAACGUUAAUUAGCAUAACCCUUACUAACCCAAGGGGUCUACAUGCUGUUAGAAGCUUCAGAAAAAGGGCGGUUCCACUGAUUAGUGCCCGUAUGCAUGCAGUGGGGGUUACGGUACUUUAGAGAAGAACGGAAAGGUGACAAUGGCGGCAGAGCGCUUCUUUCUCCCCCUUGAGAAGUAAACAAAACGGGCGAGGUCUCAUGCGGACACACAGGGGAAUUCCCGAGCGCAAAGCGAUCAGAAACAUUGUUGCAAGGGACAAGGUAGCUUCUGCGGCCUGAUCUCGUCGCAUUCCGUUCACAUCGAUUUUACUGUGGCUCUUGUAGGAGUAACUGUCCGACAAUCACGGCCGGCAACCAAGCAUCAACUGGUUGUGCUGCAGGUAAGGAAUGGAACGAGAUGCUAGUACUGUAUUUGGUUAUGUUCAUGCUGGGGUCGCGGAUUUUGCAUCUUUAGGACUUUAGCCAGUAAGUAAUUAGCUCUGGUUGUACGUACUUGUCUUUGGGACAAAGGUCUUCGGCUGGACGCCUCGAACCGCAUACGGCAUACUAAUCAUGCAUAAUCAUGGCGAGCGGCAACAUACGGAGCGACACAAUCUUGUGGCACUUGAUUAGCCGCAGCUACUUACUUAACCUGCUUUCUCCCAAGACUCUCGGCGAUGGUUCAGCUAACGGUUCGUGCAGUGCGCCAAGCAGGCCAUGGCCUGGAGCUCAACACACAGGCGUUCAGAGGCUCAGAGCUGUCGCGUUCAUCGAAAGUAGGAGUGGAGUGGACGUUUCUGCGUACAUCCAUUUUCAGUAGGGCACAGGGCCCAUAUAUUGCACACCAUCUCGGCUGUGCCCACAUUUUUUCUUCUUCUUUAUUUUUUGAGCGAAGGCCGUGCCCACAUAUGUGGACCGACUCUGCGUUGAAGCCGUGCUGAAGAAUAGUUCCUUUUCCCGGGCUGGACCGAUAGCGCCAACCCUGUCAUCAUCAAUCGGUUUGAUGGGCGACAACGAUUUUCUUUAGCAAAUGGCUGAAAAAUUGCUGUCACCCGGUUUCGCUGUUGCUCCGUUAUGUGUCGGUGGUACACAGAGCUAGCUCACCCGAGCAGUAGCCAAAAUGGACUACGGGAAUUCUCCCAUCUGCUUAUCCGUUCCUCUAUUCUCAACUGUGUGUCUAACUCUGAAAAGAGAAGAGAGGGCCUCUGACCUUUUUAUUUUAUUUAUUUAUAAUAUACUUCUUUUGUUUUUAAAUAUCUAUUUUUCUAGAGAUUUUGAAUGGACUACCAUAUACAGAUGUAUAUAGACAUAUUUUAAAGUGUAGAUUCACUUAUUUUGCUCCGUAUACAGUCACUUCUUGAAAUCUCUAGAAAGACAAAUAUUUAGAAGCGAAGGAAGUACUACUGAUGUAGAAACUCGGUCCCAUGCCGGAGCUUUUUUGGUUAGCAUAUUCCGAGCUGAAACUUGUCUUAGGACAUCUCUUAGCGAACCCUUAAAUGUUAACUCAUCAAACAUUUUGUUAAAUUUUCAAGUUUAAGGAGUUAAUGUCGGGGAACGCAGUAAUUUCAAAAAAAAAUCCUACGCACACGCAAGAUUCAUCUAGGUGAUGCAUAGCAACGAGAGGGUAGGGUGUUGUCCACGUACCCUCGUAGACCGUAAGCAGAAGUGUUAUGACAACGCGGUUGAUGUAGUCGUAUGUCUACACGAUCCGACCGAUCUUAGCACCGAAGGUACGGCACCUCCGCGAUCUGCACACGUUCAGCUCGGUGACGUCCUACGAACUCUAGAUCCAGCAGAGGUCGAGGAAGAGUUUCGUCAGCACGACUGCAUGAUGACGGUGAUGAUGAAGUUACCGACGCAGGGCUUCGCCUAAGCACUACAAUGAUAUGACCGAGGUGAAAAUCUAUGGAGAGGGGCACCGUACACGGCUAAACAAUCAACUUGUGUGUCUAUAGGGUGCCCCUGUCGAUGUCAAAACUGGCGGAUCUUGGGUAGGGGGUCCCGAACUGUGUGUCUAAGGCCGAUGGUAACAGGAGGCAGGGGACACGAUGUUUUACCCAGAUUCGGGCCCUCUUGAUGGAGGUAAUAUCCUACGUCCUGCUUGAUUGAUAUUGAUGAGUAUGAGGAUUACAAGAGUUGAUCUACCACGAGAUCGUUGUGGCUAAACCCUAGAAGUCUAGCAUGUAUGAUUGUGAUUGUCUCUACUGACUAAAUCAUCCGGUUUAUAUAGACACCGGAGGGGCCUAGGGUUAUACAAAGUCGGUUACAGAGAAAGAUCAUAAUACAUCCGGACGCCUAGCUUGCCUCCCACGCAAAGGAGAGUCCCAUCCGGACACGGGAGAAAGUCUUCUAUCUUGUAUCUUCAUGGCCCAAUAGUCCGGCCCAUGUCACACAGGCCAGACGCCUGAGGACCCCUUAAUCCAGGACUCCAUCAGUAGCCCUCGAACCAUGCUUCAAUGACGAUGUGUCCGGCGUGCUGAUAGUCUUCGGCAUUGCAAGGUGGGUUCUUCCUCCGAACACUUCAAAGCGUUUGAUCCGAAGAGUCAUACUCGGCUUUCCAUUUAUUGUCGUACCCAUUGGCUUCUGCGCCUCCACCGCUACGGCUUCCACGUGUCAAGCGAACACGAAAGGUCAUAGUAAUUUUUGCACAUACCACCCUGGCCAUGUAAGAAGGGUGUCUAUUUAAAGGGACUGGAUCUCAGAUCCUAUUCCACAUCGAGCGGAAAAUCCUUAGAGCUUGCUAGGAGAAACCAUUCUAGCAUGGCUAGCGUUCCCAGUUCUUCCUCCCGUCCUCAUGGCUCCGAAAAAGGCGAUUGGGAGAGAUAUNNNNNNNNNNNNNNNNNNNNNNNNNNNNNNNNNNNNNNNNNNNNNNNNNNNNNNNNNNNNNNNNNNNNNNNNNNNNNNNNNNNNNNNNNNNNNNNNNNNNNNNNNNNNNNNNNNNNNNNNNNNNNNNNNNNNNNNNNNNNNNNNNNNNNNNNNNNNNNNNNNNNNNNNNNNNNNNNNNNNNNNNNNNNNNNNNNNNNNNNNNNNNNNNNNNNNNNNNNNNNNNNNNNNNNNNNNNNNNNNNNNNNNNNNNNNNNNNNNNNNNNNNNNNNNNNNNNNNNNNNNNNNNNNNNNNNNNNNNNNNNNNNNNNNNNNNNNNNNNNNNNNNNNNNNNNNNNNNNNNNNCAGGAUUAACCUCUUUUACUGGUGAAGCCUUGGCGAAAAUUUUUCCCAAUCCAGCCAGGAGGGGAGCGAGUGUGCUUUACAUCCUUAAUAAGAGGCGUCGGGUUUCCAAUCCACCCCUUCCUCCGAGGUCUUCUAGAGUACUACGGCCUCCAACUGCACAAUCUCACGCCGGGUUCCAUUCUGCACAUCGCGGGCUACGUCGCUCUUUGCGAGCUAUUCCUGGGCCGCGAGGCUCAUUUCGAGCUAUGGAGGAAACUGUUCUGCCUCGUCCCUCGCUCCCAAAAGGGAUCUAUAUUUGAGGUGGGCGGCGCCGAAAUAUGGCGCAUAGCCGGGACCGGAUGCUUAUCCGGCACACCGAAGAAGGCGUCCAAAGAGUGGCUCUCAUAGUGGUUCUAUAUUGAGGAUGUCGCUCUCCCUGACCCAGUCCGAAUGGGCCCUCCAAAAUUUACCAGUGCUCCAUUGAAAAAACGCCACAUCUGGCGCCCUCGGAGCCUUGAGGAGGAAGAUAGCGUUGUCGGUGUCAAAACCGGCGGAUCUCUGGUAGGGGAUCCCGAACUGUGCGUCUAAGGUCGAUGGUAACAGGAGGCAGGGGACACGAUGUUUACCCAGGUUUAGGCCCUCUCUAUGGAGGUAAUACCCUACUUCCUGCUUGAUUGAUCUUGAUGAAUAUGGGUAUUACAAGAGUUGAUCUACCACGAGAUCGAGACGGCUAAACCCUAAAGCCUAGCCUGUAUGACUAUGGUAAUGAUUGUCCCCCUAUCCGGACUAAGCCCUCCGGUUUAUAUAGACACGGGAGGGGACUAGGGUUGUACAAGGUCGGUUACAGAGAAAGGAAUCUUCAUAUUGGGUCGCUAAGUUUGCCUUCUACGCCAAGGAGAGUCCCAUCCGGACACAGGAGAGAGUCUUCGGUCUUGUUUCUUCACAGCCCAUUAGUCCGGCACAUAUCCAACAGGCCGGACGCCCGAGGACCCCUUAGUCCAUGACCCCCUUAAUAGCCCCUGAACCAGGCUUCAAUGACGAGGUGUCCGGCGUGCAGAUUGUCUUCGACAUUGCAAGGCGGGUUCCCCUUUCCGAAUACUUCAGGAUAGUCUUCAGGCGAAACGACAGUGUCCGUACCUGCAACACAAGUACCACAACCGUAGAGUAUAGUAUUUUACGAGACCAAUCUGCAGAUAAUUUUUAUAACAUGACAUCACGCUCGCCCGAUUAUUUAUUUCAAACCGUUUCCUAUCCCACCGUUCCAUGUUUCGAGGCGUGGUUGUCAUUGGCACGUCAUGUCGAAGCAGAGAUCGUGUCCCCUUAUUGCGGGAUUCUCAUCAAUACGAGCAUGGGUAACCCAACCGUUCUGUUGAAAAGAUUCCUUAGUAAUAGGCAAGUCUUCAGGCUCAGGAGGAGGCGUUCAAUACCCGGUGCCUUUAUAAAGGAACCAAGGGCCGUCUUUUUACGCCAAACCUCUCCUCAGCCUUUCCAACCUCAAGUUCUAGCACCCAAGGUUCGACUUCAUUGCUCCAAGCUUCCCCAUCAUGUCUGGGCCCAUCCCUCAAGGUCGAUGGGUGGCUUCCUCCAUUACAAAGGAGGAUGUCGCAAAGCUUCGGGCGGCCAGAUACCUGACCGCGGAGAUCCCCCACAGGCUUCCUGCUCAAGGACAGGUUAUUCCGACCCCCAAAUCCGGCAAGAGGGUCGCAUUCAUCUCUCACUUCCUCCGAGGGCUAGGGUUCGCUCUCCACCCCUUUGUCCGGGGGCUAAUGUUUUAUUACGGACUAGAUUUUCACGAUCUAACUCCGGAUUCUCUCCUCCACGUCUCAGCGUUUAUCAUCACGUGCGAGGCCUUCCUCCGAACCCCCCACACUUCGGCCUAUGGCUCAAGACCUUUAGUGUGAAGCCGAAGGUAGUCGACGGGGAAUAGGCGAAGUGUGGCGGUGUUGUAGUAAGCAAGCUUACCAACACUCUCUGGCCAAAAGGCUCUUUCACCGAAACUUCCAACCAAUGGCAGCGAGAGUGGUUUUACAUCACGGAACACCAUAGUACCAAGUGGGCAGCUAUACAUGCGUUCUGUUCCGGCCCUCCGUUACAGCUUGCAUCAUGGAUCAAUAAGGGGAUGGGCGUGGGAUCAGUUGAUGAAGUGCAGACUCUACAGAGCCGCAUCCGAACCCUUCUUUCUGUCCAGCAAAUCACUUCUAAACAGGUCCACAUACCAAACUAUAAACGGAUUCACACCCCAAUCUAUUGAAACCCGUACAGAAAGCAGGUAAAAGUGUUAAAAGCUAACAAAAGGUGAACUAAGCUAACUACAGGAGGAUGAGAAGGACCAAAACUAAUGACAUCUAACCACACAGCUGAAUAACACUCUGAGCACUAAAAUACUAAAAAAUUGCAAUUGCUGAUGCACUGAGUCAACUAUACAAAGGGCAAAAAUACCACUAAUAAUUACAGUGUAAAACCAUGGAAAAUGCACGGUAAUUCCACUAAAAAUACACUGUAAUUCCACUUGCAAAAUACAGAGCAAAAAUCCCUAAAAGUACACUAUAAAUCCACUAAGACUUACAAUGUAAAUUCCACUAAUAAUUACAGUGUAAAUACCAUGGAAAAUGCACAGUAAUUCCACUAAAAAUAGACUGUAAUUCCACUUGCAAAAUACAGAGCAAAAAUCCACUAAAAGUACACUGUAAAUCCACUAAGACUUACAAUGUAAAUUCCACUAAUAAUUACAAUGUAAAUACCAUGGAAAAUGCACAGUAAUUCCACUAAAAAUACACUGUAAUUCCACUUGCAAAAUACAGAGCAAAAAUCCACUAAAAGUACACUGUAAAUCCACUAAGACUUACAGUGUAGAUUCCACUAAUAAUUACAGUGUAAAUACCAUGGAAAAUGCACAGUAAUUUCACUAAAAAUACACUAUAAUUCCACUAAAAAUGCCACUUGCAAAUACAGGGCAAAAAUCCACUAAAAGUACACUGUAAACCCACAGAUUUACAGUGUAAAUUCCACUGUAAUUCCACUAAUAAUUACAGUGUAAACCCACUGAAAAUGCACUCUAAUUCCACUAAAAGUACACUGUAAAUUCCACUUAAAACACACAGAAGAAUUACACUGUAAUACCACUGAGAAAGUACUAAAUUUAACCCCAGAGAAGCACCACCAGAGAGGGCGAUUCCUCCAUGAUCAAGGACACGAACAUGGUUGGAGAAGCAAAAAAAUCACAGGUAAACACCCCCUCCUAUGCAUUCAUCAGCUCCUGUCGUCUCUCGUCUCUCUCCUGCCUGAACAGAUCUGGAAGAAAGAACAUACCUGUAGUGGAUAUUACAUAGGCUAAGUUAAGCACUAAAUCUACAUAGAUCGAAAAUAAGAACAUAAUCGUACAAAAGCUUGAACCAGGAGAAACUCUAGGAACAACUAGGAUAUGGUUGCAUGAAUUUGUAGUCUAUGAUCACAGGAAAACUGAAAACUAGAUGCCCAGAUCAUAGAUUUCUGAAUUUGCAGAAAUAAACACACUACAAGGAUCAAAACAAGCUCACGAAGCUAGCAAUUCCAUUUUAGGAAAACUAGUUAAAAACAUACAAGGGGGAAGAUUGCCCGAGUUGAGAGAAAAUAUGACUAUUUUCGCAAACUUUGGAAACUAAAAACCUAAACACUGUUAAGAAACCUUGAUUACUGGUUUUAGACACUUUCUACCCGUUCUUAAAUAGCUGUGACUGAAGGACUGAAUUUAAGUAACUUUGGAAGUGCAAACUACUAUGAUCUGAUGCUUGCUUACAUUGAAUAUUGAUAGGCAUUAACAUAAGCACUAAAAAAUGAAAUUAACAGAAAAAGGACAAACACAAUCAGGCUAAAAACAUUCACACUAGAAGGCACUCACACUAGUAGCAACAAACAAAAAGAAUCUAUAGAACUGAUAACAUAUUUACAUUUCAGAACUAAAAGGACAAAUUUGUGACCGUUAGAUCAAAUUACUGGGAC
RNAcentral lists this long non-coding RNA (30309 nucleotides) under Triticum aestivum (bread wheat). RNAcentral describes it as "long non-coding RNA (TAES_LNC025326)". The stretch from base 2108 to 2194 matches the Rfam family "MIR1120/MIR1122 microRNA precursor family". The record is from RNAcentral. Lineage: Eukaryota; Viridiplantae; Streptophyta; Magnoliopsida; Poales; Poaceae.